UACGUAGGGUGCAAGCGUUAUCCAGAUUUACUGGGCGUAAAGCGCACGCAGGCGGAUGAUUAAGUCAGCUGUGAAAGCUCCCGGCUCAACUGGGAAGGGUCGGCUGAAACUGGUCGUCUGGAGGGCAACAGAGGAGUGUAGAAUUGCGGGUGUAGUGGUGAAAUGCGUAGAUAUCCGGGGAGGACCAGUGGCGAAGGCGCUACACUAGAACGGCUCUGACAGUGAGGGACGAAGCCCUGGGGCGCAAACCGG
This 252-nucleotide ribosomal RNA is filed under the name uncultured bacterium. RNAcentral describes it as "partial 16S ribosomal RNA". It matches the Rfam family "Bacterial small subunit ribosomal RNA", at positions 524 to 776 of the family's 1533-position model. The record is from RNAcentral.